Molecule: ribosomal RNA, 459 nt
Filed under: uncultured bacterium
Lineage: Bacteria
Description: partial 16S ribosomal RNA
Rfam family: Bacterial small subunit ribosomal RNA
Source: RNAcentral
CCUACGGGAGGCAGCAGUGAGGAAUAUUGGUCAAUGGGCGGAAGCCUGAACCAGCCAAGUCGCGUGCAGGAUGAAGGCCCUACGGGUCGUAAACCGCUUUUGCACGGGGAUAACACCCUCCACUUGUGGAUGUCUGCAGGUACCGUGCGAAUAAGGGCCGGCUAAUUCCGUGCCAGCAGCCGCGGUAAUACGGAGGGCCCGAGCGUUAUCCGGAUUCAUUGGGCUUAAAGGGAGCGUAGGCGGGCGUUCAAGUCAGCGGUAAAAUCGGGCGGCUCAACCGAGCCCCGCAGUUGAAACUGGAAGACUUGAGUUUACAUCAGGCAGGCGGAAUUCGUGGUGUAGCGGUGAAAUGCAUAGAUAUCACGAGGAACCCCGAUUGCGAAGGCAGCCUGCCGGGGUGCGACUGACGCUGAGGCUCGAAGGUGUGGGUAUCAAACAGGAUUAGAUACCCUAGUAGUC